This 478-nucleotide ribosomal RNA is filed under the name uncultured bacterium. RNAcentral's name for it is "bacterial SSU rRNA". It matches the Rfam family "Bacterial small subunit ribosomal RNA", at positions 38 to 507 of the family's 1533-position model. The record is from RNAcentral.
GGCGGCAGGCCUAACACAUGCAAGUCGAGCGGUAACAUUUCUAGCUUGCUAGAAGAUGACGAGCGGCGGACGGGUGAGUAACGCGUAGAAAUCUACCUAGUAGUGGGGGAUAGCCCAGAGAAAUUUGGAUUAAUACCGCAUACGCCCUACGGGGGAAAGCGGGGGAUCUUCGGACCUCGUGCUAUUAGAUGAGUCUGCGUCGGAUUAGCUUGUUGGUGAGGUAAUGGCUCACCAAGGCGACGAUCCGUAGCUGGUCUGAGAGGAUGACCAGCCACACUGGAACUGAGACACGGUCCAGACUCCUACGGGAGGCAGCAGUGGGGAAUAUUGCACAAUGGGCGCAAGCCUGAUGCAGCCAUGCCGCGUGUGUGAAGAAGGCCUGCGGGUUGUAAAGCACUUUCAGUGGGGAGGAAGAUAUCACGGUUAAGAGCUAUGGUAUUUGACGUUACCCACAGAAGAAGCACCGGCUAACUCUGUG